UUUGCCUCAGGAACUCCUGUAUUGACUGUCAAUCUGCUAAUAAAAUAAGCAUCUUCUUUUAUAAACUGCAAAUGUUUUUAACACUCGGCAUCAUUUGGCCCAACAUGACGACACCGAAUGCAGCUGGACUUUGUCACAGGAAAGCAUUAAGAAAGCGACUCUGUAUGAUAAUUCAUUUGGCAAGGAAAGGCUGACUGCUAUACAUACACAGUAGGAUAAGACUAAAUAUCACUCUGGUGAUAAGCUCACAGUAAGUUGAGUAGACUGCCAUGAGUAGACCAUUGUGGUGGUGGAUAAAAGGGAAGUUUAACUUUUUUCCAAAAGUGACCAUGAACGCUAUAAAGAUAUAAAUACAUGUCUACAUUUUACUGUUUAAUAAAUAGUCCCUGAUACUUACUUAAAAAAAAAAAAUUCUGAUGUUAUAAAAUACAGUAAAAUUAAA
Molecule: non-coding RNA, 442 nt
Organism: Pelobates cultripes (western spadefoot toad)
Lineage: Eukaryota; Metazoa; Chordata; Amphibia; Anura; Pelobatidae
Source: the annotation of a GenBank genome assembly